This is a long non-coding RNA of Triticum aestivum (bread wheat), 605 nucleotides long. RefSeq lists it as uncharacterized. Lineage: Eukaryota; Viridiplantae; Streptophyta; Magnoliopsida; Poales; Poaceae. The transcript has 2 exons. The record is from RefSeq and is a predicted model, not a curated record.
ACCUCACGAGUCACAAUUGAACCAGCCCAGCCGGCAGCCGAUUCACUUGCGUUCCUCUUCUUCUCUCCCACUACAAACCCUAGCCGCCGCUCACCACCCGCCGUUGUGGUCUGCCUGAUGCCCCAUGAGACGCGAGUCCCCGGCGGCCGGCGCGCAGCGAGGCGCACCACGCGCCCCUGACCGAUGAAGUCCGGCGCUCCGAGCCGCGGCCCUGACCAGUGAAGACCGGCGCCCCGCACCGCCAUCCCCGACCCCUUGUUGGUCGCUCCACUGCCCGUGACGCGGCCGUCCGCUGCUAGUGCUCCACCUCCCGACUGCCGGUUCAGUAGUUGCAGUCCUCUUCCAUGUUGUUUGCCUACUUGCCGCCUACUGACCUCUUUCUGUUCUUCACAUUGCAACUAAAGCUGAAUCUGAAUCUGAACAUCAUGAUGAGGAGUUGAAUGAGAGAGAUUAUGCCUAUCUAGAGGCAGAUGCAGAUUCAGGAGCAGCUUCUGUAGUCAUUUGGGUUGUUCUGCAGACAUGGACCCUCUUAUUACUAUAUGAUCUAUGUAUCAACAUUAAAUCGGCCUUGCAAAUGGAAUAUUUGUUUUCUAUUUAUUUCUGCA